RNAcentral lists this ribosomal RNA (105 nucleotides) under Vulpes vulpes (red fox). The record is from RNAcentral. Lineage: Eukaryota; Metazoa; Chordata; Mammalia; Carnivora; Canidae.
GUCUAUGGCCAUACCACCCUGAACAUGCCUGAUCUCGUAUGAUCUCAGAAACUUUUUUUAGGAUUGUAUUUAUUUGAUACGAGCACAAAUGGGAAACAGUGGACA